CGAGUAGAGUGGCGCACGGGUGAGUAACACGUAGGUAAUCUACCUUUGGGUGGGGAAUAACAGCCGGAAACGGCUGCUAAUACCGCAUAAUGCAGCGGCUCGACAUCGAGACAGUUGUUAAAGCGGGGGAUCGCAAGACCUCGCGCCUGAAGAGGAGCCUGCGGCGGAUUAGCUAGUUGGUAAGGUAAUGGCUUACCAAGGCAUCGAUCCGUAGCCGGCCUGAGAGGGCGGUCGGCCACACUGACACUGACAUACGGGUCAGACUCCUACGGGAGGCAGCAGUCGGGAAUUUUGGGCAAUGGGCGCAAGCCUGACCCAGCAACGCCGCGUGAAGGAUGAAAUCCCUCGGGAUGUAAACUUCGCAAGAACAGGAAGAAUAAGUAGGGGACAAUACCCCCUAUGAUGACGGUACUGUUUGUAAGCUCCGGCUAACUCCGUGCCAGCAGCCGCGGUAAUACGGGGGGAGCAAGCGUUGUUCGGAUUUACUGGGCGUAAAGGGCGCGUAGGCGGUCGUGACAAGUCACUUGUGAAAUCUCCGGGCUUAACUCGGAAAGGUCAAGUGAUACUGUCGGACUAGAGUGCAGAAGGGGCAACUGGAAUUCUCGGUGUAGCGGUGAAAUGCGUAGAUAUCGAGAGGAACACCUGCGGCGAAGGCGGGUUGCUGGGCUGACACUGACGCUGAGGCGCGAAAGCCAGGGGAGCGAACGGGAUUAGAUACCCCGGUAGUCCUGGCCUUAAACGAUGAAUGCUUGGUGUCUCGGGUUACAUAGUCCCGGGGUGCCGUCGCUAACGCUUUUAGCAUUCCGCCUGGGGAGUACGGUCGCAAGACUGAAACUCAAAGGAAUUGACGGGGACCCGCACAAGCGGUGGAGCAUGUGGUUUAAUUCGACGCAACGCGAAGAACCUUACCUGGGCUAGAAUGCCUCUGACAACCCUAGAGAUAGGGCCUUUUGGGUAAAACCAGA
Molecule: ribosomal RNA, 965 nt
Filed under: uncultured bacterium
Lineage: Bacteria
Description: bacterial SSU rRNA
Rfam family: Bacterial small subunit ribosomal RNA
Source: RNAcentral